UCUUUCUCUAUCUCUGAAUUUGUCUGUCUCUGUCUGUCUCUGUCUCUGUGUCUCUGUCUCUGUGUCUGUGUCUCUGUCUCUCCCUGUCUCUCUCAGUGUCUCUCUCACUUUAUCUCUAUCUCUGUCUCUGUGUCUCCAUCUCUGUUUCUUUCUCUCUAUGUCUCUUUGUCUCUGUCUCUGUCUCUGUGUCUCUGUUUCUGUCUCUGUGUCUCUCUGUCUCUGUCUCUGUCUCUCUAUGUCUCUGUGUCUCUGUGUCUGUCUCUGUCUCUGUGUCUCUGUCUCUCCCUGUCUCUCUCAGUGUCUCUCUCACUUUAUCUCUAUCUCUGUCUCUGUGUCUCCGUCUCUGUUUCUUUCUCUCUAUGUCUCUUUGUCUCUGUCUCUCUGUCUCUGUCUCUGUGUCUCUGUUUCUGUCUCUGUGUCUCUGUGUCUCUGUCUCUCAGUGUCUCUGUGUCUCUGUGUCUGUCUCUGUCUCUGUGUCUCUGUGUCUGUCUCUGUCUAUCUCUGUGUCUGUGUCUCUGUCUCUCUCAGUGUCUCUCUCACUUUAUCUCUAUCUCUGUCUCUGUGUCUCCGUCUCUGUUUCUUUCUCUCUGUGUCUCUUUGUCUCUGUAUCUGUCUCUCAGUGUCUCUGUUUCUGUCUCUGUGUCUCUGUCUCUCAGUGUCUCUGUGUCUCUGUCUGUCUGUCUCUCUCUGUCUCUGUCUCUGUGUCUGUGUAUCUCUGUCUCUGUCUGUCUGUCUGUCUCUGUCUCUUUGUCUCUGUGUCUCUUUGUCUCUGUCUCUGUGUCUCUGUGUCUCUUUGUCUCUUUGUCUCUGUCUCUGUCUGUCUCUGUCUGUCUCUGUGUCUCUCUGUCUGUCUGUCUCUGUCUCUCUGCCUGUCUCUGUCUCUAUCUCUGUCUCUCUCUGUGUCUCUAUCUCUGUCUCCCCGGGCCUCGAACCCGGAUCCCCGCUGACCACUUCCGCCGGGCGCGGGCCUCGAACCCGGGUCCCCCCCCCCCCCCGCGUACCUGGGCGGGGUCGAAGCCCUGGAGCAUGCGCAGCAGCCGCGGGAGCCGCAGCCUCGUGUCCUCCUCGCAGAAGAAGAUCCACGACGCGUCCCCGUGGGCCGCCGCGAGGCUGGGGGAGAGGGGAGAGGCCGGGGCUGGGGCGCGGGGGACCCGGGUUCGAGUCCUCCCAAC
This 1172-nucleotide long non-coding RNA is filed under the name Meriones unguiculatus (Mongolian gerbil). RNAcentral describes it as "lncRNA (ENSMUGG00000002314.1)". The record is from RNAcentral. Lineage: Eukaryota; Metazoa; Chordata; Mammalia; Rodentia; Muridae.